ACGGCUCAGUAACACGUAGGAAUCUGCCCAAAACUGGAGCAUACCCCCGCGAAAGUGGGGCUAAUUCUCCAUAUGUCCGUAAGGAUAAAGAGCGUAACUGCUUGGUUUUGGAUGAGCCUGCGUCCUAUCAGGUAGUUGGUGGGGUAAUGGCCUACCAAGCCAAUGACGGGUAGCUGGCCCGAGAGGGUGACCAGCAAGAGGGGGACUGAGACACGGCCCCCACUCCUACGGGAGGCAGCAAUCAGGAAUAGUCGGCAAUGGGCCGAAAGCCUGACCGCGCGACACCGCGUGUGGGAUGAAGUUCUAACGAGCGUAAACCACUUGUGGUAGAGGAAGAAUUUCCGUCUUUGACGGAAUUGACGGUACUCUACUAGAAAGUAGCCGCUAACUGCGUGCCAGAAGCGUCGGUAACACGUGGGCUACAAGCGUUAUCCGGUAUUAUUGGGCGUAAAGGGUCGUGUAGGUGUCCCACCAUGUUUUUGUCUAAAUAUUCAGGCCCAACCUGGAGAAGGGCGAAAAAACGGGUGGGAUAGAGUUUUCUUAAGGGGGAUUGGAACUGAGAGAGGAGUAGUGAAAUGCGUUGAUACCCUCAGGAACACUAGUGGCGAAGGCGAAUCCCUGGAAGAAGACUGACACUGAGACACGAAAGCUAGGGGAGCGAAGCAGAUUAGAGACCUGCGUAGUCCUAGCCCUAAACGAAUGUCUGCUGGCUGCAUUUUUUUCCCGCAAGGGAAUUAAGUGUGGCGAAGGUAACCCGUUAAGCAGACCGCCUGGGGAGUACGGCCGCAAGGCUAAAACUCAAAGGAAUUGGCGGGGGAGCAC
Molecule: ribosomal RNA, 822 nt
Filed under: uncultured Microgenomates group bacterium
Lineage: Bacteria
Description: bacterial SSU rRNA
Rfam family: Bacterial small subunit ribosomal RNA
Source: RNAcentral